GACCUGCUAGCUCAGUCGGUUAGAGCGUCGUGCUAACAACGCGAAGGUCACAAGUUUGAUCCCUGUGCAGGCCA
Ixodes scapularis (black-legged tick) is the source of this 74-nucleotide non-coding RNA. NCBI's taxonomy places the organism in Eukaryota, Metazoa, Arthropoda, Arachnida, Ixodida, Ixodidae. The record is from Rfam.